CAUAGCCAAAAAGCGAGGAAGGCUCAGAGUUGCAAUCCUACAACAUCUGGCAGCCACAUGAGUUUCUUGCUCUGUUUGGGUUUUUGAUGACUGCCAUGAAGGUGGUGAGAUAUCUCCAUCAAACUGUAUUUAUAUGAUGGAAUGGCUAGAAUUUUAGCAGUCAAAUGAGAACCAUGAGUUUGAAAGUUUCUUGUAACCCAAAUUAAUGAGCCAGUUUACUAUUUAAUCGUGGACUCUUUUAUUGGAGAGAACUCAAGGUAUGGAGUAUUUUUGAAAAUGCUAAAUCGCUUUUGAAGGAGAACCAUUUUUGAAAAGCAUUGUAUUCCACAGAUGGUUUGUAUCAGUGUACCCCCAGUAAGGAAUUAUGCAGAUUAUGGCCCAAAACAUCUGGAGGUGAAAAAUUCUUCACUCUUGUUCAUGUUGCAGGAAGAAGUCCCAAAAAUAUUUCUUUUAUUAAACAUAUGAAGACAUAAACCAAACACGGUUAUACAUAGCUGCUGGAAAGACAAGUAUUGUUUUGAGGGAAUUAGGUUGUGCUUUGGUAAAAUAAUUCUGCUUCUUGCCAUUGUAUCACACAAUUCCCUUUUGGAACAUAAUGUUAAAAAGAACAAUGCAUUAAAAAAGAAGACAGUCAUGUUUUUGGGGCUGGAAAUCAUAGCUCCCAAAGCACCUAGAUGCUCUCUGUGCUGUACUCAUUGUUAAUCUCAGGACAUAGGGUAAAAUAUAUGUGCUUUUAUAAAUAAAAUCUUAUUAUAAGGCA
Molecule: long non-coding RNA, 760 nt
Organism: Sceloporus undulatus (fence lizard)
Lineage: Eukaryota; Metazoa; Chordata; Lepidosauria; Squamata; Phrynosomatidae
Exons: 2
Source: RefSeq, a predicted model, not a curated record